Molecule: ribosomal RNA, 501 nt
Filed under: uncultured bacterium
Lineage: Bacteria
Description: partial 16S ribosomal RNA
Rfam family: Bacterial small subunit ribosomal RNA
Source: RNAcentral
AUUGAACGCUGGCGGCAUGCCUUACACAUGCAAGUCGAACGGCAGCACGGGUGCUUGCACCUGGUGGCGAGUGGCGAACGGGUGAGUAAUACAUCGGAACGUACCUUAUCGUGGGGGAUAACGCAGCGAAAGUUGCGCUAAUACCGCAUACGCCCUGAGGGGGAUAGCGGCGGAUCGUAAGGCCUCGCGCGAUUAGAGCGGCCGAUGUCUGAUUAGCUUGUUGGUGAGGUAAAAGCUCACCAAGGCGAUGAUCAGUAGCUGGUCUGAGAGGACGAUCAGCCACACUGGGGCUGAGACACGGCCCAGACUCCUACGGGAGGCAGCAGUGGGGAAUUUUGGACAAUGGGGGCAACCCUGAUCCAGCAAUGCCGCGUGAGUGAAGAAGGCCUUCGGGUUGUAAAGCUCUUUUGUCAGGGAAGAAACAGCAGCUCUAACACAGUCUGCGAAUGACGGUACCUGAAGAAUAAGCACCGGCUAACUACGUGCCAGCCGCCGCGGUAA